Molecule: ribosomal RNA, 264 nt
Filed under: uncultured bacterium
Lineage: Bacteria
Description: partial 16S ribosomal RNA
Rfam family: Bacterial small subunit ribosomal RNA
Source: RNAcentral
GUCCACGCCCUAAACUAUGUCAACUAGUUGUCGGGGAAGAAAUUCCUUGGUAACGAAGCUAACGCGUGAAGUUGACCGCCUGGGGGAGUACGGCCGCAAGGUUAAAACUCAAAGGAAUUGACGGGGACCCGCACAAGCGGUGGAUUAUGUGGAUUAAUUCGAUGCAACGCGAAAACCUUACCUACCCUUGACAUGCUAGGAAGCCCGCAGAGAUGUGGGCGUGCCCGAAAGGGAACCUAGACACAGGUGCUGCAUGGCUGUCGU